This 73-nucleotide transfer RNA is filed under the name Stegodyphus mimosarum. It matches the Rfam family "tRNA". From Rfam's summary of the family: Transfer RNA (tRNA) molecules are approximately 80 nucleotides in length. Their secondary structure includes four short double-helical elements and three loops (D, anti-codon, and T loops). Lineage: Eukaryota; Metazoa; Arthropoda; Arachnida; Araneae; Eresidae. The record is from Rfam by way of RNAcentral.
GCUUUCGUAGUGUAAUGGCCAGCACACUCGGCGCAUAUUCGAGAGGCCCGAGGUUCGAGUCCCAGCGAGGACA